RNAcentral lists this ribosomal RNA (505 nucleotides) under uncultured bacterium. RNAcentral describes it as "partial 16S ribosomal RNA". It matches the Rfam family "Bacterial small subunit ribosomal RNA", at positions 28 to 507 of the family's 1533-position model. The record is from RNAcentral.
GACGAACGCUGGCGGCGUGCCUAAUACAUGCAAGUAGAACGCACAGUUUAUACCGUAGCUUGCUACACCAUAAACUGUGAGUUGCGAACGGGUGAGUAACGCGUAGGUAACCUGCCUGGUAGCGGGGGAUAACUAUUGGAAACGAUAGCUAAUACCGCAUAAUAUUGAUUAUUGCAUGAUAAUUGAUUGAAAGAUGCUAUUGCAUCACUACCAGAUGGACCUGCGUUGUAUUAGCUAGUAGGUGAGGUAACGGCUCACCUAGGCGACGAUACAUAGCCGACCUGAGAGGGUGAUCGGCCACACUGGGACUGAGACACGGCCCAGACUCCUAAGGGAGGCAGCAGUAGGGAAUCUUCGGCAAUGGACGAAAGUCUGACCGAGCAACGCCGCGUGAGGGAAGAAGGGUUUCGGAUCGUAAAGCUCUGUUGUAAGAGAAGAAAGGGUGUGAGAGUGGAAAGUUCACACUGUGACGGUAUCUUACCAGAAAGGGACGGCUAACUACGUG